Long non-coding RNA from Ostrea edulis (European flat oyster), 502 nucleotides. RefSeq lists it as uncharacterized. The transcript has 2 exons. The record is from RefSeq and is a predicted model, not a curated record. NCBI's taxonomy places the organism in Eukaryota, Metazoa, Mollusca, Bivalvia, Ostreida, Ostreidae.
CUUGAAUUUAACCUCGAUGAUCGCUAGGGGCGCUGCUUUGUCAACACACUAAGUGCGCGGAAUAUGGCGGAUCCAAAACUGAAUGCCGUGUAGGACAAUAUUCCGACAGAGUGUGAACUACCCUCAAGCCUCCUCUAAAGGAAACGAAUAUAUUUUCCUUCGGAGAGUGUCAGAAAUACAUUGAUGUAUAUGGCGUCACUGAAGAUAGAACGUGUGUGGAGCAGCCGACAACGAAGACCGAGCAACAUAUCUUAUAUGACAUGUCAUCAAGUCGGCGCAUUCCGGUCUCUGCAAAACCCAAGGAUAUACUUAAAGUGGUAACAGGAGGAAAAUCAAUCAAACCAAGUGAAAGUACAAGACACUAUUACAAAAGGAAAGCAAAGGAGUCCAUAAAUUCAAUGUUGAACAUCAAGACAGUCUAAAAUAUUGAAUCCAAACAAAAUAUCAAAACUCUAUGAAGAAAUAAAUGACAAAUUGUCAAAUAAACAUGAAAGCAUUCUUA